AUUGAACGCUGGCGGCAGGCCUAACACAUGCAAGUCGAGCGGCUGAAGGGUACUUGCUCCUGGUUUCAGCGGCGGACGGGUGGGUGAGGCCUAGGAAUCUGCCUGGUUGUGGGGGAUAACGUCAGGAAGCGGGCGCUAAUACCGCAUACGUCCAGAGGGCGUACGUGGGAGAUCAUCGGAUCUUCCGAUAUCAGGUGAUCCGAUGUCGGAUUAGCUAGUUGGCGGGGUAAAGGCCUACCAAGGCGACGAUCCGUAACUGGUCUGAGAGGAUGAUCAGCCACACUGGAACUGAGACACGGUCCAGACUCCUACGGGAGGCAGCAGUGGGGAAUAUUGGACAAUGGGCGAAAGCCUGAUCCAGCCAUGCCGCGUGUGUGAAGAAGGUCUUCGGAUUGUAAAGCACUUUAAUUGGGGAAGAAGAGCAGUAGGUUAAUACCUCGCUGUUUUGACGGUACCAACAGAAUAAGCACCGGCUAACUUCGUG
This 484-nucleotide ribosomal RNA is filed under the name uncultured bacterium. Its description in RNAcentral is "partial 16S ribosomal RNA". It matches the Rfam family "Bacterial small subunit ribosomal RNA", at positions 30 to 507 of the family's 1533-position model. The record is from RNAcentral.